AAUAGAAGCUUGCUUCUAUUGGUUAGCGGCGGACGGGUGAGUAACACGUGGGCAACCUACCUGUAAGACUGGGAUAACUUCGGGAAACCGAAGCUAAUACCGGAUAAUUCUUCUUUACACAUGUAGAGAAGCUAAAAGACGGUUUCGGCUGUCACUUACAGAUGGGCCCGCGGCGCAUUAGCUAGUUGGUGAGGUAACGGCUCACCAAGGCAACGAUGCGUAGCCGACCUGAGAGGGUGAUCGGCCACACUGGGACUGAGACACGGCCCAGACUCCUACGGGAGGCAGCAGUAGGGAAUCUUCCGCAAUGGACGAAAGUCUGACGGAGCAACGCCGCGUGAGUGAUGAAGGUUUUCGGAUCGUAAAACUCUGUUGUUAGGGAAGAACAAGUACGAGAGUAACUGCUCGUACCUUGACGGUACCUAACCAGAAAGCCACGGCUAACUACGUGCCAGCAGCCGCGGUAAUACGUAGGUGGCAAGCGUUGUCCGGAAUUAUUGGGCGUAAAGCGCGCGCAGGUGGUUUCUUAAGUCUGAUGUGAAAGCCCACGGCUCAACCGUGGAGGGUCAUUGGAAACUGGGGAACUUGAGUGCAGGAGAGAAGAGUGGAAUUCCACGUGUAGCGGUGAAAUGCGUAGAGAUGUGGAGGAACACCAGUGGCGAAGGCGACUCUUUGGCCUGUAACUGACACUG
Molecule: ribosomal RNA, 692 nt
Filed under: uncultured Bacillus sp.
Lineage: Bacteria; Bacillati; Bacillota; Bacilli; Caryophanales; Bacillaceae
Description: bacterial SSU rRNA
Rfam family: Bacterial small subunit ribosomal RNA
Source: RNAcentral